AUUGAACGCUGGCGGCAUGCCUUACACAUGCAAGUCGAACGGUAACAGGCCGCAAGGUGCUGACGAGUGGCGAACGGGUGAGUAAUACAUCGGAACGGGCCCGAUCGUGGGGGAUAACGCAGCGAAAGCUGUGCUAAUACCGCAUACGAUCUACGGAUGAAAGCGGGGGAUCGCAAGACCUCGCGCGGACGGAGCGGCCGAUGGCAGAUUAGGUAGUUGGUGGGGUAAAGGCCUACCAAGCCGACGAUCUGUAGCUGGUCUGAGAGGACGACUAGCCACACUGGGACUGAGACACGGCCCAGACUCCUACGGGAGGCAGCAGUGGGGAAUUUUGGACAAUGGGCGCAAGCCUGAUCCAGCCAUGCCGCGUGCAGGAUGAAGGCCUUCGGGUUGUAAACUGCUUUUGUACGGAACGAAAAGGUUUCUUUUAAUACAGGGAACUGAUGACGGUACCGUAAGAAUAAGCACCGGCUAACUACGUGCCAGCAGCCGCCGUAA
This 498-nucleotide ribosomal RNA is filed under the name uncultured bacterium. RNAcentral describes it as "partial 16S ribosomal RNA". It matches the Rfam family "Bacterial small subunit ribosomal RNA", at positions 30 to 523 of the family's 1533-position model. The record is from RNAcentral.